Molecule: ribosomal RNA, 412 nt
Filed under: uncultured bacterium
Lineage: Bacteria
Description: bacterial SSU rRNA
Rfam family: Bacterial small subunit ribosomal RNA
Source: RNAcentral
UAACUUAGUGGCGGACGGGUGAGUAACACGUGAGCAAUCUGCCUUACGUGGGGGAUAGCAGUUGAAACGACUGAUAAGUACCGCAUAACAUAACGGGACCGCAUGAUUCUGUUAUCAAAGAUUCAUUGCCGUAAGAUGAGCUCGCGUCUGAUUAGAUAGUUGGUGAGGUAACGGCCCACCAAGUCGACGAUCAGUAGCCGGACUGAGAGGUUGAACGGCCACAUUGGGACUGAGACACGGCCCAGACUCCUACGGGAGGCAGCAGUGGGGAAUAUUGCACAAUGGGCGCAAGCCUGAAUGCAGCGAUGCCGCGUGAGGGAAGAAGGUUUUCGGAUUGUAAACCUCUGUCUUAUGGGACGAUAAUGACGGUACCAUAGGAGGAAGCUCCGGCUAACUACGUGCCAGCCGCCGC